AGGGCACCACCAGGAGUGGAGCCUGCGGCUUAAUUUGACUCAACACGGGAAAACUCACCCGGCCCGGACACUGGAAGGAUUGACAGAUUGAGAGCUCUUUCUUGAUUCAGUGGGUGGUGGUGCAUGGCCGUUCUUAGUUGGUGGAGCGAUUUGUCUGGUUAAUUCCGAUAACGAACGAGACUCUAGCCUACUAAAUAGACUGCUCAGCUUUAUAGCUAGAUCACCGGGCAUGUUGGCUUCGGUCAGUGUGUUCGGCUCUGGUGACGCUGGCAGUGCUUCUUAGAGGGACAGGCGGCGGUUCAGCCGCACGAAACAGAGCAAUAACAGGUCUGUGAUGCCCUUAGAUGUCCGGGGCUGCACGCGCGCUACACUGAAGUGAUCAGCGUGCAUUUAUAUUUUGCUGCUCCGUCAGGAGUGGCUAACCCGUUGAACCUUCUUCGUGAUUGGGAUAGGAGAUUGUAAUUAUUCUCCUUGAACGAGGAAUUCCCAGUAAGCGCAAGUCAUAAGCUUGCGUUGAUU
RNAcentral lists this ribosomal RNA (519 nucleotides) under uncultured eukaryote. RNAcentral describes it as "bacterial SSU rRNA". It matches the Rfam family "Eukaryotic small subunit ribosomal RNA", at positions 1161 to 1646 of the family's 1831-position model. The record is from RNAcentral.